GUGAAUCAUCGAAUCUUUGAACGCAAAUUGCACUCUCUGGUAUUCCGGAGAGUAUGCCUGUUUGAGGGUCAGUUUAAAUAAAAAUCGGUGUGGUUGCUGCCUUUCGUGGUUACGCACCGGAUUUGGGUCGUCUUGCCUUCGGUUAAGAGACCUCAAAUUUUGCAUGAUUUUUUUUGCACCUAUUUAAAUGAUUUUAAGUACUUUUUCUAUAUCGCAUACUA
This 221-nucleotide unclassified non-coding RNA is filed under the name Glomus sp. RNAcentral's name for it is "partial contains 5.8S ribosomal RNA and internal transcribed spacer 2". The stretch from base 1 to 71 matches the Rfam family "5.8S ribosomal RNA", at positions 84 to 154 of the family's 154-position model. Lineage: Eukaryota; Fungi; Glomeromycota; Glomeromycetes; Glomerales; Glomeraceae. The record is from RNAcentral.